CUGAUGGAUUCCUGUCUCACGUUGAGAUCUCCUCUGAAAUUCACAAUCAGCCAUUUGGAUGUCUGACACAUCAUUUGCCCAGUACAUCAUGCCUUCUGCUAAGCUUUCCAACCAUUGGAGCAACAUGUCUAUAUGACAUGAUACUUUAUAUGGAAAACCGAG
Neogale vison (American mink) is the source of this 162-nucleotide long non-coding RNA. RefSeq lists it as uncharacterized. The record is from RefSeq and is a predicted model, not a curated record. The transcript is spliced from 3 exons. NCBI's taxonomy places the organism in Eukaryota, Metazoa, Chordata, Mammalia, Carnivora, Mustelidae.